UACGUAGGGCGCAAGCGUUAUCCGGAAUUAUUGGGCGUAAAGAGCUCGUAGGCGGUUUGUCGCGUCUGCCGUGAAAGUCCGGGGCUCAACUCCGGAUCUGCGGUGGGUACGGGCAGACUAGAGUGAUGUAGGGGAGACUGGAAUUCCUGGUGUAGCGGUGAAAUGCGCAGAUAUCAGGAGGAACACCGAUGGCGAAGGCAGAUCUCUGGGCCUUACCUGACGCUGAGGCGCGAAAGCUAGGGGAGCGAACAGG
This 253-nucleotide ribosomal RNA is filed under the name uncultured bacterium. RNAcentral describes it as "partial 16S ribosomal RNA". It matches the Rfam family "Bacterial small subunit ribosomal RNA", at positions 524 to 776 of the family's 1533-position model. The record is from RNAcentral.